Molecule: ribosomal RNA, 612 nt
Filed under: uncultured bacterium
Lineage: Bacteria
Description: bacterial SSU rRNA
Rfam family: Bacterial small subunit ribosomal RNA
Source: RNAcentral
CCUACGGGAGGCANCAGUAAGGAAUAUUGGACAAUGCUCGCAAGAGUGAUCCAGCCAUGCCGCGUGCAGGAAGAAUGCCCUAUGGGUAGUAAACUGCUUUUGAACUAGAGAAAACCCCAGUACGUGUACUGGGCUGAUAGUAUAGUUAGAAUAAGCAUCGGCUAACUUCGUGCCAGCAGCCGCGGUAAGACGAAGGAUGCAAGCGUUAUCCGGAUUCAUUGGGUUUAAAGGGAGCGUAGGUGGACUGAUAAGUCAGUGGUGAAAUCUCCGAGCUUAACUCGGAAAUUGCCAUUGAUACUGUUGGUCUUGAGUACAGUUGCUGUGGGCGGAAUAUGACAUGCAGUGGUGAAAUACAUAGAGAUGUCAUAGAACACCGAUUGCGAAGGCAGCUCACAAAGCUGUAACUGACACUGAGGCUCGAAAGUGCGGGGAUCAAACAGGAUUAGAUACCCUGGUAGUCCGCACCGUAAACGAUGAUUACUCGCUGCUAGGGGGCAACCUUUAGUGGCUUAGCGAAAGCGAUAAGUAAUCCCACCUGGGGAGUACGCCGGCAAACGGUUGAAACUCAAANAGAGUUAGAGGNGNGAGAGCGACGGCGACACAGGGAGGAGG